CGACCCGAAAACUUAAAUGGGUCGACACAAACCCGAACCCAAAAUUAAAUGGGUUAGGUUAAGGUUGAAAAUCUCAACCCGAAAACGACCCACUUAACCCGAAAUAAAUUUCAGGUCAAAAUCAGGUCGGGUAACCCGAACCCGACCUGAUAACCCGAACUAAUUUAAGUAAGAAAAAGAAAAAAAACUUAAAAAGCUUAUUAAGCCCAGCCCAAAUUCACAAAGAGGCUUCCAUAUAUAAAUUCAAUACCCUAAAUGAACUCAUUUCCCCUCAUUGAUCUUCAGCCGUUUUUCCCCUCACUUCUCUCUCUUUAAUUUUCUCUCUCCUCAAAAACUCAUUGUUGAAUUCGACAGAGGUAGUUCCGUUAAGCCCAACUUUACCAUUGUCAUUUCCUUGACGGCUUGAAUCCUUCACUCCUCCACGAAUUCCUCUCCUUCAUCAAAGGUUUGGCAGCAAGAAGUAGCCCACCCAUGUUCAAUUGGAAAUGUUGUGGAUCAAUUUUGAAGCUUGAGGUGGUGAACAAGGAUGACAGCCAUGACAAAUUGACAGUCCCAACAUCGCCCGAUCUUAAUCCAAAUGAAAAUCUUAUUGCAUCUUCUAUUAUUUUUUGAAAACUGUAAUUUGUGUUAUUAAAACUUUAUCUUUGGUUUGUAAUUAGUGAAUUAUAAUUUUUAUUGGUUUAUUA
Chenopodium quinoa (quinoa) is the source of this 686-nucleotide long non-coding RNA. RefSeq lists it as uncharacterized. NCBI's taxonomy places the organism in Eukaryota, Viridiplantae, Streptophyta, Magnoliopsida, Caryophyllales, Amaranthaceae. The transcript has 2 exons. The record is from RefSeq and is a predicted model, not a curated record.